GCCUAAAAAAUAAAAUAAAAAACAAAAAGUAUAACCUUAGCCAGCCUAUGACUGUGCUGUCUUUUGCUCUGCUAACUGAUUCACCCAUUUUAUUAUUCAGUCGCUGUAUUCUUGUCUCCUUUCUUCUCCUUUUACUUUUGGAUGUGCCAUUGUUCUGAUUAGUUGAGAGGUGCCGAACAGAUAACUAAUUAUGGCAGUGUGAGCCACAGGAUAAUUCUCAAGUGAUCUCUGCUGUAGCAUGUCCCCACAUAGGGCAUAGUGGGCAAGGUUAAGAAGGAAUUCUAACCUUGAAUACCUGAGGACCUGACUCCGUUCUCAUUCUCUAUCCCUGUGCUCAUCAGAAAAUGCCAAUCCUAAGCUAUUUGGGUGGGGUUGGUUGGAGAGACAUGGAAAAGUACCCUGGGCAGCUGAAGUGCCUGUUAAAUCUUACCCACAUUUGAACAAAUUCACUCUAAGUUGAUUUGGUUCUCCUUUAAAAUGAGAGAAAGCAAGGACUUAGACUGCCAAUUGCCCCCUGAAAUUAUCUUUGGCUGCAUUAAAGAGCUUCACAGAAUGACAGUUACUUUUUAUUAUCAAGAGCUUACUUGUAAUUAUAAAGUAUAGAGAAUAUACAUAUAUGCCAAUGAAUGAAGCAUGGGAACACUAAUAAAUUUAAAAAUUCAACAGGCUCCUCAAACAACUGGGCCCAAGACAGAAACUGCUCAGAGCAAGAUUUUCAAAUAGAUCUUUUUCUAGUGACUGAGAUAUUUAAGAAAAAUUGGCAUAAAGUAGAACCCGGAAUCUUCUGUUCACUUAUUUUUCUGGCUAUUACAUCAUCCCUGAAAAUAAACAAAUAAAUAAAGCAGGGGUCAGAGAAGGUAUAGUACUUUUUGGAUGCUGACUAUGGAUAAGGCUUUUUGCUUGUUUCCACAGCACUUCCUAUCCCUGCUUUCUGUAUCCUUGGAAAGAAAUGUGGAAUAAUGAAAAUAGCAAAAGGCUUGGCAGCCAGGCAGGCCCAGGUGUGAUCUCAGUCCCACCAUUCAUUCUCUGGGUGGCCUUGGGCAGGUCACUCUAACUCUGUGAGCCAAAGGGUCACUAAAGCACCCUUCCUGGAAUUCCUUUGAGGAGUCAGUGAGGGAGCACACAGUGAGUGGGGCUUCCCUUCAUAUCCCCUGCUCUGGGCCAGGGACCAGGACCUGGUGUCAGGGUCUUUACCCAGCACUGUACCAACACUUGCUCUCCAAAAUGGGACUAGGGUGAAAUUUCUUCACAGUAUGAAAAUAAUGGCCCAGGGAACGAAGCAAAUGCCAAGAGCUGAGCCUUAGGGAAUGACUAGUAGGCCCAGAUUCUUGGGGUGACUUCCUUCGAAGACUUCAUUUGUUAACACCUUCCUUCCCUUCUUGUUAGUUUCAGUGGGAAGUAGGAUUGGGGUGAUUUGGAGAAGCAGUGGGGAAUUUAGUUAGGGGAGACUCCUGGGUACCUGUGGGGACAUAAAAAGGGAUUGGUGUGGGAUGGCAGGUAGAGGCCACAAGAGGAGGGCGUGAAUGCUACAUGAAGGAGUUUGUUGUUGUUUGGUGGAAGAGGAGGAGGUAUGCAUGUGAGGAGGGGUGGCCAUGAGCCUGGAGCUGUCCUGCAGGGCAGCUUCUUUCACUCUGCUGCGUAUGUGGUGGAGAGCUCUGACCCACCCUGCUCUUGAGUGUUUCUGAAUGCUAGGAGCGGGGACAAACCUGCAAGGCUGAUUGGAUGUUGAGGAACAAGUAUGUAAAGAGAAGUGUAUACAUAAAAACCAAAAAUCCCUGGGGCUUUGAAUCCUUCUAGAGCUCCUGGCCACCUUCUUCAGGACAGCAACUGACAGUGUUGUGAAGUGCUUGGCUUUGUCCUUCUCGCAGGCCAUCUGGGCUAAGUAGUGAGAUCCACGUGGCCAGGAAGGAAGGCAUGCAUCUCCCCAGGCCUGUGGCUCUCCUUGUAUUGACCUUGCUGCUUCCUGGGCUAAGCAGCUGCAGUGAGGGUGUGUUGCCCUGAAGCAGUUACGUCAUUCAUUAAUCCAAAUUCUGAAAGACAAAUGAGCAUAUGGUGCUAAAAUACUUUUUUUUUAAAAGCCACAGUUUCAUUGUCUUAGUCAAAGCAAGAUUAUUACGUGAUUAUUUUAAAUUCAUUUUUUUAAAUUAGCAAUUUCAAGUAUAACAAAUUUGGAAUAAAGGUUUGUUUUCUAUUAAUAAAAAUGAAUAGUGACAAAACCCCCAAUAUUCUAGAUUGUGAGACUUCCCUCUUGUUGUAGUUGGACCACAUUUAAGGACUAAAUUGGAAGGAAGGAGCAAGAGGAGUCUGUGACAAACCUGUGGUUAAGCUCUCUUUGAAGAAAUCGCACAGUAUGGCUCCGUGCUCUGAACAUGCUCUGUGUCUGCCCUUUUUCAAAGGCGAGACAGCCACCUCGAGGCCAGUCAGACCAUGAAUAAUGGUCUAAGCCCUUGCCACCAGGAUGGAGAGGUCUGAGCAGUACAGUGAAGAGGCUUCAUCAGCAAGGGCUGAUUCAACGGCACCUCUCUCUGGAUUCAAUGGCAUUCUUUCUGGAGGUUAGCCCAUUUCUUUAAGUCAGCUCCAUCCAAGUUUGAUUAUCCUUCUUUGAAUCUCUUCCAACAAUUUGACAUCCUUGAGGUUGAAUAGCUGAAAACUGCACAUAGCGCAGCACUCCACACAAAACACCUUUAGAAAUUUCUAGUUGAGAAGAACUUGGGCAAAGUCAAAUCUCCCCACUUGAUUUUGUUUAUGUUCCUCUCUUGGGAUUUGUCUUGGGCAUGUUACUGUACAAAUAACUGCUAUCAUCAUCAUCAUCAACACCAGUUUUAAGAAUUAUAAUAGCAAUAAAAUUGACUUACCAUUUUUGAGACUGGAGUUUUGUUACCUGAUAUGGUUUGACCCUGUGUCCCCACCCAAAUCACAUGUCAAAUUGUAAUCCCAGUGUUGGAGGAGGGGUCUGGUGGGAGGUGACUGGAUCAUGGGGGCGGACUUCCCCCUUGCUGUUCUCAUGAUAGUGAGUGAGUUCUCAUGAGAUCUGGCUUUUUGAAAUGUGUAGCACCUCCUCCUGCUCUCUAUUCCUCCUGCUCCUGCCAUGUGAGACAUGCUGGCUUCCCCUUUGCCUUCCGCCAUGAUUGUAAAUUUCUCGAGGCUUCCCAAGCCAUGCCUCCUGUACAGCCUGUGGAACUGUGAGUCAAUCAAACCUCUUUUCUUUAUAAAUUACCCAGUCUUGGGUAGUUCUUUACAGCAGCAUGAGAACAGACUAAUACAUUACCUAAAACAAAUUUUGGAAACAAAUCAGGUCAUUAAAAAGUGCAAGCACGGCCAGCCAUACUAAGCCACCUGUUCACUGUGUUGCUGGGGUUUUUUUUUUUUUUUCAAUUUAUUUUUUUGAGCCAGCAUUCUUUUGUGAAUAUCAAUUUCUACUGGGCAAUCAGGCCAUGUGGUCUCUCCUCUGGACUGGCCCCUACAGCCUUCCACACUCUGUGACACUCAGUGGCCACAGGCCCCUGGAAAAUUGGAUGUGUGACUGAGUCUUUAAGAGGUGGAGUGACUUACUUUAAUUCAGUAAGUCAAUAUGUUUUAAACUCAGAUUGUUUGUUCCACAAUAGGAAAAAGCUGUGAAAUUUCUUGUCUCAGCUCUGUCUACCACUACUUUGGAGGGGCUACAGGUAUCAGUGAGAUAAACCAAAGUCAGAUAUUCAAACUGGGGCAUAAAAUGUUCUGCAUGAGUGUCAAGAAUGGUUCUUUGGGUGUGGCGAAGGGUUCACACCUACAUUUAAUUUUCGAAAUGUGUUUCUUAAAAAUAUGCCAAAAAGAUACCUAGAAAAACACAUAUCACUGAUUGAAAUAUGUAAUGCAUUUAAAUAUACAUACAUAUGUAUAUACACACACACAUAUAUGUUUUCAUAAUCACACUAAUAUCUGCCCUGCUACACUGAUGGUCAAAUAUUUUGGGAGAGAACAUCUGGCAGCCUACCUCUAGUCAUCUUUUCCUCUAUAAAACUCUUCCAAUACCCUGUUCUAGCUAUGCUUAACCUUCCAAGCUUAUCAAACAAGUCAGGUUCUCUCUCCACUCCACACAUUGCUCAAAUUGCUUCCACUGCCUCAGAUAUCCUGCUCUGCCCCCAUUCUUAACCUGGCUACCUACUCUUAGAGUUUCAGUGAUCUCUUCCAGGAAGCCUUCAAACAUGCACACACAAAUACUUGACUAGCAUCUCAUGCACAGAUACUUGCAUACUUGACUGGUACCUCAUGCUUACUUCUAUCAGAUGAUAGCGUUGGCUACCCCGUAUAGGACGAUCUGUUUACUUAUCUGUCCCCCGCCACACCAGACAUAGGCCAUCAGGUCCACCAGGACUGGUGUCUUUAUUGUUGCAUGUUUCCAUUCUUCACACAGCACCUGGAAAAUAGGUAAAUAAAUAUUAAGUGAGUGAAUGAAUGAAUGAAUGAAUGGGAUGAAGGAAUGAAUUCUUGCUACUGACUGGUGCAUAGUUGCUACGCACAUCCACCUCCAAUUCAGCUCCCUGCUGGAGUCUGAAAUUGAAGGCUGGUGGAGAGAGGAUUUGGUCUUCCUAGGCAAAAUGCAGUUACCUGACUUAACCAUUCACACUCCAUGUGGAUGGGAUAAAAACACCUAAGUGAGUUUUUCUUGUCCUGGUGAUUUUUGUAGCAGUUUGUGGCUCAUUUUUAUCAAGUCUAGAUACAAUUUUCUUUCAUGUGCUAUGAAGUCUUGGUUCCUGUAACACAAACCUCUUUAAUCAUUAGUCUUUCUGGUAGAAUUUGAUAGGGGCCAUAUAAAAUGCUUCUCUUCAUCUGCUAAGAGCCAUUUAUGGACACUUACUAUGAGCAAUAUACAUUGCAAAAGACCAGAAAACUCACCCUCUGCUUAUGAUUCAGCACUGUAACAUGAUAGCCUGGAAACUAGUCUGAUAGUUUAAUCAGUGCUAUGUGAUCCUUAUUUGUGGUUGGCUGCCUCAUCAAUUUUCAUUUGGGAAUUGAAAUGGACUCUGAGGCAGAUAUGGCAUUAAUUAUGGGGGAAAUUGGUUGCAAUAUGCCUUGAGGUAAAACCCUUCUGAUGGGAAUCUAAGAUUGAAAGAAAGCCAAAUUAUAAAAGGAUGAUUUACUGAAAAAGGCAAAUGUAUGCAUUACCAUCACUGCUUAGCAGAGAAAAAGUUGCUGAUAAACCAGAAAGAUUGUGGCAUGACUGAAAAGUGAGGAAAAUCUCUAGGUCUAGCUCUCUCAAAAAAAAGAUUUAUUCUUAUGCUGAAUGCAUUAUAUUUCCCCAGAUACAUACAACAUUUUCCAAAAGUGUGCUUCAAUUAAUAGGCAAGCAAGCAUUAAUACUAGUUGGCAGGGUCCCAAUUUUCUUCUAGAUUGAAAUAUAUUUACUAAGAACUGAAUAGGGAGCAUCUAGGGACACCAAAGUUAAAAUUCAUUUUACCAGUUGUAGUAUCUGCUGUUGUAUCAAUUUUCUUGUUAAAAUACCACAUUUUUUUUACCUGAAGAUUUCAAAAACCUUCUUAGUUAAUACCCUAUUUUUCCUAUCACUGAAUCUUGAUGAGGUAAAAUACAGAGGAAAAGUCAUCAUAGAAA
RNAcentral lists this long non-coding RNA (5589 nucleotides) under Homo sapiens (human). RNAcentral's name for it is "HSALNT0200660". Lineage: Eukaryota; Metazoa; Chordata; Mammalia; Primates; Hominidae. The record is from RNAcentral.